Molecule: non-coding RNA, 106 nt
Organism: Acanthosepion pharaonis
Lineage: Eukaryota; Metazoa; Mollusca; Cephalopoda; Sepiida; Sepiidae
Source: the annotation of a GenBank genome assembly
CCACAUCACGUUGAAACGCCAGUUGCCAUAGGAUCACCAAAGUUAAGCAACAUCAAGCUUGGUCAGUACCUAGAUGGGUGACUGCUUGGGAAUGCCAAAUACUGCA